AGAGUUUGAUCCUGGCUCAGAGCGAACGCUGGCGGCAGGCUUAACACAUGCAAGUCGAGCGGGCGUAGCAAUACGUCAGCGGCAGACGGGUGAGUAACGCGUGGGAACGUACCUUUUGGUUCGGAACAACACAGGGAAACUUGUGCUAAUACCGGAUAAGCCCUUACGGGGAAAGAUUUAUCGCCGAAAGAUCGGCCCGCGUCUGAUUAGCUAGUUGGUAGGGUAAUGGCCUACCAAGGCGACGAUCAGUAGCUGGUCUGAGAGGAUGAUCAGCCACAUUGGGACUGAGACACGGCCCAAACUCCUACGGGAGGCAGCAGUGGGGAAUAUUGGACAAUGGGGGCAACCCUGAUCCAGCCAUGCCGCGUGAGUGAUGAAGGCCUUCGGGUUGUAAAGCUCUUUCGGCCGGGAAGAAAUCGCAUAGGUUAAUACCCUGUGUGGAUGACGGUACCGGAAUAAGAAGCACCGGCUAACUACGUGCCAGCAGCCGCGGUAAUACGUAGGGUGCGAGCGUUAAUCGGAAUUACUGGGCGUAAAGCGUGCGCAGGCGGUUUCGUAAGACAGAGGUGAAAUCCCCGGGCUCAACCUGGGAACUGCCUUUGUGACUGCGAAGCUAGAGUACGGCAGAGGGGGGUGGAAUUCCACGUGUAGCAGUGAAAUGCGUAGAGAUGUGGAGGAACACCGAUGGCGAAGGCAGCCCCCUGGGCCGAUACUGACGCUCAUGCACGAAAGCGUGGGUAGCAAACAGGAUUAGAUACCCUGGUAGUCCACGCCCUAAACGAUGUCAACUAGGUGUUGGGUGGGUAAAACCAUUUAGUACCGUAGCUAACGCGUGAAGUUGACCGCCUGGGGAGUACGGCCGCAAGGUUAAAACUCAAAGGAAUUGACGGGGACCCGCACAAGCGGUGGAUGAUGUGGAUUAAUUCGAUGCAACGCGAAAAACCUUACCUACCCUUGACAUGUUCAGAAUCCUGGAGAGAUUUGGGAGUGCCCGAAAGGGAGCUGGAACACAGGUGCUGCAUGGCUGUCGUCAGCUCGUGUCGUGAGAUGUUGGGUUAAGUCCCGCAACGAGCGCAACCCUUGUCGUUAAUUGCCAUCAUUUAGUUGGGCACUUUAACGAGACUGCCGGUGACAAACCGGAGGAAGGUGGGGAUGACGUCAAGUCCUCAUGGCCCUUAUGGGUAGGGCUUCACACGUCAUACAAUGGUCGGUACAGAGGGUUGCCAAGCCGCGAGGUGGAGCCAAUCCCAGAAAGCCGAUCGUAGUCCGGAUUGCAGGCUGCAACUCGCCUGCAUGAAGUCGGAAUCGCUAGUAAUCGCGGAUCAGCAUGUCGCGGUGAAUACGUUCCCGGGUCUUGUACACACCGCCCGUCACACCAUGGGAGCGGGUUCCGCCAGAAGUAGGUAGCCUAACCGCAAGGGGGGCGCUUACCACGGCGGGGUUCGUGACUGGGGUGAAGUCGUAACAAGGUAGCCGUAGGGGAACCUGCGGCUGGAUCACCUCCUU
Molecule: ribosomal RNA, 1506 nt
Filed under: uncultured bacterium
Lineage: Bacteria
Description: partial 16S ribosomal RNA
Rfam family: Bacterial small subunit ribosomal RNA
Source: RNAcentral